UGGGGAAUUUUGGACAAUGGGGUAAACCCUGAUCCAGCCAUCCCGCGUGUGCGAUGAAGGCCUUCGGGUUGUAAAGCACUUUUGGCAGGAAAGAAACGUCAUGGGUUAAUACCCCGUGAAACUGACGGUACCUGCAGAAUAAGCACCGGCUAACUACGUGCCAGCAGCCGCGGUAAUACGUAGGGUGCAAGCGUUAAUCGGAAUUACUGGGCGUAAAGCGUGCGCAGGCGGUUCGGAAAGAAAGAUGUGAAAUCCCAGAGCUCAACUUUGGAACUGCAUUUUUAACUACCGGGCUAGAGUGUGUCAGAGGGAGGUGGAAUUCCGCGUGUAGCAGUGAAAUGCGUAGAUAUGCGGAGGAACACCGAUGGCGAAGGCAGUCUCCUGGGAUAACACUGACGCUCAUGCACGAAAGCGUGGGGAGCAAACAGG
Molecule: ribosomal RNA, 429 nt
Filed under: Acidobacteriota bacterium
Lineage: Bacteria; Pseudomonadati; Acidobacteriota
Description: Acidobacteria bacterium partial 16S ribosomal RNA
Rfam family: Bacterial small subunit ribosomal RNA
Source: RNAcentral